AUUGAACGCUGGCGGCAGGCUUAACACAUGCAAGUCGAGCGGUAACAGAGAGAAGCUUGCUUCUCUGCUGACGAGCGGCGGACGGGUGAGUAAUGCCUAGGAAUCUGCCUAGUAGUGGGGGAUAACUUGCCGAAAGGUAAGCUAAUACCGCAUACGUCCUACGGGAGAAAGGAGGGGACCUUCGGGCCUUUCGCUAUUAGAUGAGCCUAGGUCGGAUUAGUUAGUUGGUGAGGUAAUGGCUCACCAAGACCGCGAUCCGUAACUGGUCUGAGAGGAUGAGCAGUCACACUGGAACUGAGACACGGUCCAGACUCCUACGGGAGGCAGCAGUGGGGAAUAUUGGACAAUGGGGGGAACCCUGAUCCAGCCAUGCCGCGUGUGUGAAGAAGGUCUUAGGAUUGUAAAGCACUUUAAGUUGGGAGGAAGAGCAGUUAACUAAUAUUUGACUGUUUUGACGUUACCGACAGAAUGAGCACCGGCUAACUUCGUGCCAGCCGCCGCAGUAA
This 506-nucleotide ribosomal RNA is filed under the name uncultured bacterium. Its description in RNAcentral is "partial 16S ribosomal RNA". It matches the Rfam family "Bacterial small subunit ribosomal RNA", at positions 30 to 523 of the family's 1533-position model. The record is from RNAcentral.